GGUCCGCUGGCUCAAUGGCAGAGCGUCUGACUACGAAUCAGGAGGCUCCAGGCUCGACCCCUAGGUAGAUCG
Molecule: non-coding RNA, 72 nt
Organism: Cercophora newfieldiana
Lineage: Eukaryota; Fungi; Ascomycota; Sordariomycetes; Sordariales; Lasiosphaeriaceae
Source: the annotation of a GenBank genome assembly